This 72-nucleotide transfer RNA is filed under the name Thraustochytrium aureum. RNAcentral's name for it is "tRNA-Trp". It matches the Rfam family "tRNA". From Rfam's summary of the family: Transfer RNA (tRNA) molecules are approximately 80 nucleotides in length. Their secondary structure includes four short double-helical elements and three loops (D, anti-codon, and T loops). Further hydrogen bonds mediate the characteristic L-shaped molecular structure. tRNAs have two regions of fundamental functional importance: the anti-codon, which is responsible for specific mRNA codon recognition, and the 3' end, to which the tRNAs corresponding amino acid is attached (by aminoacyl-tRNA synthetases). tRNAs cope with the degeneracy of the genetic code in two manners: having more than one tRNA (with a specific anti-codon) for a particular amino acid; and 'wobble' base-pairing, i.e. permitting non-standard base-pairing at the 3rd anti-codon position. The record is from RNAcentral. Lineage: Eukaryota; Bigyra; Thraustochytrida; Thraustochytriidae.
AGGGGGAUAACUCAAUGGUAGAGUAGUGGUCUCCAAAGCCAUUUGUUGUGGGUUCAAAUCCUACUCUCCCUG